GACGAACGCUGGCGGCGUGCCUAAUACAUGCAAGUAGAACGCAGUUUCGAACGGGUGAGUAACGCGUAGGUAACUGCCUCAUAGCGGGGGAUAACUAUUGGAAACGAUAGCUAAUACCGCAUUCUGUUAGACGGACCUGCGUUGUAUUAGCGAGUUGUUGAGGUAAAGGCUCACCAAGGCGACGAUACAGUCCCGACCUGAGAGGGUGAUCGGCCAAACUGGGACUUGGACACGGCCCAGAAUCCUUCUGGAGGCAGCAGUAGGGAAUCUUCGGCAAUGGACGGAAGGCUGGACGAGCAAAGCCGGGGGAGAGAAGAAGGUUUUCGGAUCGUAAAGGUCUGUUGUGCGAGAAGCGGUAACUAAACAGGAAGGGACGGCUAACUCCGUGCCAGCAGCCGCGGUAAUUC
Molecule: ribosomal RNA, 407 nt
Filed under: uncultured bacterium
Lineage: Bacteria
Description: partial 16S ribosomal RNA
Rfam family: Bacterial small subunit ribosomal RNA
Source: RNAcentral